RNAcentral lists this ribosomal RNA (422 nucleotides) under uncultured bacterium. RNAcentral describes it as "bacterial SSU rRNA". It matches the Rfam family "Bacterial small subunit ribosomal RNA", at positions 358 to 772 of the family's 1533-position model. The record is from RNAcentral.
GGAAUUUUGGACAAUGGGCGCAAGCCUGAUCCAGCCAUGCCGCGUGAGUGAAGAAGGCCUUCGGGUUGUAAAGCUCUUUCGGCGGGGACGAAACGGUCCGUGCUAACACCACGGACUCAUGACGGUACUCGCCGCAGAAGCCCCGGCUAACUACGUGCACGCAGCCGCGGCAAUACGUAGGGUGCAGGCGUUAAUAGGAAUUACUGGGCGUAAAGCGUGCGCAGGCGGCUCCUUAAGUCAGAUGUGAAAGCCCCGGGCUUAACCUGGGAACUGCGUUUGAAACUGGGGGGCUAGAGUGUGGAAGAGGGGGGUGGAAUUCCAGGUGUAGCAGUGAAAUGCGUAGAGAUCUGGAGGAACACCGAUGGCGAAGGCAGCCCCCUGGGCUAACACUGACGCUCAUGCACGAAAGCGUGGGGAGCAAA